UACGUAGGUGGCAAGCGUUGUCCGGAAUCAUUGGGCGUAAAGAGCGCGUAGGUGGCUUGUCAGGUCCGAUGUGAAAACCUGGGGCUCAACUCCAGGCCUGCAUCGGAAACCGGCUUGCUAGAGUCUGGGAGAGGAGAGUGGAAUUCCUGGUGUAGCGGUGAAAUGCGUAGAUAUUAGGAGGAACACCAGUAGCGAAGGCGGCUCUCUGGACUGUAACUGACGCUGAGGCACGAAAGCGUGGGGAGCAAACGGGAUUAGAUACCCCGGUA
Molecule: ribosomal RNA, 269 nt
Filed under: uncultured prokaryote
Description: partial 16S ribosomal RNA
Rfam family: Bacterial small subunit ribosomal RNA
Source: RNAcentral